Molecule: ribosomal RNA, 492 nt
Filed under: uncultured bacterium
Lineage: Bacteria
Description: partial 16S ribosomal RNA
Rfam family: Bacterial small subunit ribosomal RNA (bases 60-492)
Source: RNAcentral
GGGGGGGGCGGGGGGGGGGGGGGGGGGGGGGGGGUGGGGGGGGGGGGGAGGAAGGGGGUGCGGUGAGGGGUGGGGAGUGGCGGGGGGGUGGGGAAGACAGGGGAAGCUACUUUCUGGGGGGGGAUAACGGAGGGAGACUUACGCUCGUCAUGGAUACGACCUAAGGGUGAAAGCAGGGGAUCUUCGGAUCUUGCGCGAUUGAAUGAGCCGGGGUCGGAUUAGCUAGGUGGCGGGGGAAAGACCGACGCAGGCGACGACCCGUGGCUGGUCUGAGAGGAUGAUCAGCCACACUGGAACUGAGACACGGUCCAGACUCCUACGGGAGGCAGCAGUGGGGAAUAUUGAACAAGGGGCGCAAGCCUGAUCCAGCCAUACCGCGUGGGUGAAGAAGGCCUUCGCGUUGUAAAGCCCUUUUGUUGCGAAAGAAAAGCAGCAGGGUAAUACCCCGCUGUUCUGACGGUACCCAAAGAAUAAGCACCGGCUAACUUCGUG